RNAcentral lists this ribosomal RNA (545 nucleotides) under Bifidobacterium longum subsp. suillum. RNAcentral describes it as "bacterial SSU rRNA". It matches the Rfam family "Bacterial small subunit ribosomal RNA", at positions 152 to 711 of the family's 1533-position model. The record is from RNAcentral. Lineage: Bacteria; Bacillati; Actinomycetota; Actinomycetes; Bifidobacteriales; Bifidobacteriaceae.
GGAAACGGGUGGUAAUGCCGGAUGCUCCAGUUGAUCGCAUGGUCUUCUGGGAAAGCUUUCGCGGUAUGGGAUGGGGUCGCGUCCUAUCAGCUUGACGGCGGGGUAACGGCCCACCGUGGCUUCGACGGGUAGCCGGCCUGAGAGGGCGACCGGCCACAUUGGGACUGAGAUACGGCCCAGACUCCUACGGGAGGCAGCAGUGGGGAAUAUUGCACAAUGGGCGCAAGCCUGAUGCAGCGACGCCGCGUGAGGGAUGGAGGCCUUCGGGUUGUAAACCUCUUUUAUCGGGGAGCAAGCGAGAGUGAGUUUACCCGUUGAAUAAGCACCGGCUAACUACGUGCCAGCAGCCGCGGUAAUACGUAGGGUGCAAGCGUUAUCCGGAAUUAUUGGGCGUAAAGGGCUCGUAGGCGGUUCGUCGCGUCCGGUGUGAAAGUCCAUCGCUUAACGGUGGAUCCGCGCCGGGUACGGGCGGGCUUGAGUGCGGUAGGGGAGACUGGAAUUCCCGGUGUAACGGUGGAAUGUGUAGAUAUCGGAAAAAAACACCA